CGCGCCUAACACAUGCAAGUCGCACAGAAGCGGAGCAAUCCGCGGUACAGUGGCGCACGGGCGAGUAACACGUGGAUGACCUUCCCUGGAGUGGUGGAUAACCUGCCGAAAGGCGGGCUAAUCAGCAUGGGACCACGACGCUUUGGCGAUGUGGUGAAAGCGGGCCUCUAUAUAUAAGCUCGCGCUCCGGGACGGGUCCGCGUCCCAUCAGCUAGUUGGUGAGGUAACGGCUCACCAAGGCAACGACGGGUAGCUGGUCUGAGAGGAUGGCCAGCCACACUGGAACUGAGACACGGUCCAGACUCCUACGGGAGGCAGCAGUGGGGAAUCUUGCGCAAUGGGCGAAAGCCUGACGCAGCGACGCCGCGUGGGCGAAGAAGGCCUUCGGGUUGUAAAGCCCUGUGGGGGAGAACGAACCGUACGGGGGCGAACACCCUCCGUGCCUGACGGUACUCCUUUAGCAAGCAUCGGCUAACUCUGUG
RNAcentral lists this ribosomal RNA (482 nucleotides) under uncultured bacterium. Its description in RNAcentral is "bacterial SSU rRNA". It matches the Rfam family "Bacterial small subunit ribosomal RNA", at positions 43 to 507 of the family's 1533-position model. The record is from RNAcentral.